RNAcentral lists this ribosomal RNA (465 nucleotides) under uncultured bacterium. RNAcentral describes it as "partial 16S ribosomal RNA". It matches the Rfam family "Bacterial small subunit ribosomal RNA", at positions 338 to 795 of the family's 1533-position model. The record is from RNAcentral.
CCUACGGGUGGCAGCAGUAGGGAAUCUUCGGCAAUGGUCGAGAGUCUGACCGAGCAACGCCGCGUGAGUGAAGAAGGUUCUCGGAUCGUAAAACUCUGUUGGUAGAGAAGAACGUUGGUGAGAGUGGAAAGCGCAUCAAGUGACGGUAACUACCCAGAAAGGUACGGCUAACUACGUGCCAGCAGCCGCGGUAAUACGUAGGUCCCGAGCGUUGUCCGGAUGUAUUGGGGGUAAAGCGAGCGCAGGUGGUUGAUUAAGUCUGGUGUAAAAGGCAGGGGCUCAACCAUUGUAUGCAUUUGAAACUGGCAGACUUGAGUGCAGGAGAGGAGAGUGGAAUUCCAUGUGUAGCGGUGAAAUGCGUAGAUAUAUGGCGGAACACCGGUGGCGAAAGCAGCUCUCUGGCCUGUAACUGACACUGAGGCUCGAAAGCGUGGGGAGCGAACAGGAUUAGAUACCCUAGUAGUC